This is a long non-coding RNA of Heterocephalus glaber (naked mole-rat), 448 nucleotides long. The record is from Ensembl. NCBI's taxonomy places the organism in Eukaryota, Metazoa, Chordata, Mammalia, Rodentia, Bathyergidae.
CUCUGACCACGGGUCCAUCGCAUUGCAAGGGAAGGCUGCUGCUCAGCGCACACCGCCCCGUCCCAAAGCAAGGCUCUGCACGUAUCGGGACUAAGACGCACUGUGCAGCACGGCUCACGAGUCCUCAGAGUCCUCUGUAAAAGUGAAAUGGCAGAGCAAGAACAAGCGGCAGUGGCCCAUAGACUGUGCACUCGUGCCUGGCGUUAGGAGGACCAUCUCCUGCCAUAGGAAAUUGGAAAUUUCCUUAUCUUCUGAUCUUCCAGCUGAGGACAUGGGGCUCUGAGGGCUCCAGGCCUUGCCCGGUCACGCAGCCGGGUGAGAUUGAUGACUCGGGAGCAAACUGUUGAAACAACUAACUCACCGUGAACCUGAAAAGACUUCCUUUCCUGGUGUCUCCAAUCUUCCUCUGCCACUCUGCCCUUCCCUUUUAGAGGAGUGUAAAACACAG